AGUGAACGCUGGCGGGAGGCCUAACACAUGCAAGUCGAACGGCAGCACAGUAAGAGCUUGCUUUGUCGAGUUGCGAGUGGCGGAUGUGUGACGAGUACAUCGUAAUCUACUUUUUCGUGGCGCUUAACGUAGGUAAACUUACUCUAGUACCGCAUACCACCUACGGGUGAAAGCAGGGGAUCUGCGGACCUUGCUCGAUUGAAUGAGCCGAUGUCGGAUUAGCUAGUUGGCGGGAUAAAGGCCCACCAAUGCGACGAUCCGUAGCCUGUCUGAGAGGAUGAUCAGCCACACUGGAACUGCGACACGCUCCAGACUCCUACGGGAGGCAGCAGUGGGGAAUAGUCGGCAAUGGGCGCAAGCCUGGAACAGCCAUACCGAGUGGGUGAAGAAGGCCUUCGGGUUGUAAAGCCUUUUUGUUGGGAAAGAAAAGCAGCAGGUUAAUACCCCGCUGUUCUGACGGUACCCAAAGAAUAAGCACCGGCUAACUUCGUG
This 492-nucleotide ribosomal RNA is filed under the name uncultured bacterium. Its description in RNAcentral is "partial 16S ribosomal RNA". It matches the Rfam family "Bacterial small subunit ribosomal RNA", at positions 29 to 507 of the family's 1533-position model. The record is from RNAcentral.